GACGUAGGGGGCGAGCGUUAUCCGGAUUCACUGGGCGUAAAGGGCGCGUAGGCGGUUACGAAAGUCCGAUGUGAAAAGUCACGGCUCAACUGUGAUCGUGCAUCGGAUACUUCGUUGACUUGAGGUCGGUAGAGGCAAGUGGAACUAGCGGUGUAGCGGUGAAAUGCGCAGAUAUCGCUAGGAACGCCGGUGGCGAAGGCGACUUGCUGGGCCGUACCUGACGCUGAUGCGCGAAAGCUAGGGGAGCGAACCGG
This 254-nucleotide ribosomal RNA is filed under the name uncultured bacterium. Its description in RNAcentral is "partial 16S ribosomal RNA". It matches the Rfam family "Bacterial small subunit ribosomal RNA", at positions 524 to 776 of the family's 1533-position model. The record is from RNAcentral.